RNAcentral lists this ribosomal RNA (459 nucleotides) under uncultured bacterium. RNAcentral's name for it is "partial 16S ribosomal RNA". It matches the Rfam family "Bacterial small subunit ribosomal RNA", at positions 338 to 795 of the family's 1533-position model. The record is from RNAcentral.
CCUACGGGUGGCAGCAGUGAGGAAUAUUGGUCAAUGGCCGUAAGCCUGAACCAGCCAAGUCGCGUGAGGGAAGACUGCUCUAUGGGUCGUAAACCUCUUUUAUGCGGGGAUAAAGGGCUCGACGUGUCCCUUUUUGCAGGUACCUUAUGAAUAAGGAUCGGCUAACUCCGUGCCAGCAGCCGCGGUAAUACGGAGGAUCCGAGCGUUAUCCGGAUUUAUUGGGUUUAAAGGGAGCGUAGGCGGGCUUUUAAGCGUGCGGUAAAAAUUCGGGGUCCAACCUCGCAGGGCCGUUGAAACUGGGGGCCUUGAGUGGGCGAGAAGAAGGCGGAAUGCGUGGUGUAGCGGUGAAAUGCUUAGAUAUCACGCAGAACCCCGAUUGCGAAGGCAGCCUGCCGGCGCCCUACUGACGCUGAGGCACGAAAGUGCGGGUAUCGAACAGGAUUAGAUACCCGUGUAGUC